RNAcentral lists this ribosomal RNA (288 nucleotides) under uncultured bacterium. Its description in RNAcentral is "partial 16S ribosomal RNA". It matches the Rfam family "Bacterial small subunit ribosomal RNA", at positions 775 to 1067 of the family's 1533-position model. The record is from RNAcentral.
GGAUUAGAUACCCUGGUAGUCCAUGCUGUAAACGAUGAAUACUCGAUGUUGGCGAUACACUGUCAGCGUUCAAGCGAAAGCAUUAAGUAUUCCACCUGGGGAGUACGAUCGCAAGGUUGAAACUCAAAGGAAUUGACGGGGGCCCGCACAAGCGGUGGAGCAUGUGGUUUAAUUCGAUGGUACGCGAGGAACCUUACCAGGGCUUAAAUGGUAUUGGACCGUUGCCGAAAGGUGACUUUCUUUUAGACUGAUAUCAAGGUGCUGCAUGGCUGUCGUCAGCUCGUGCCG